GAUGAACGCUGGCGGCGUGCCUAAUACAUGCAAGUCGAGCGAACAGACGAGGAGCUUGCUCCUCUGUCGUUAGCGGCGGACGGGUGAAAAACACGUGGAUAACCCACCUAUAAUACUGGUAUAACCUCGGGAAACCGGCUACAAUACCGGAGAAUAUAUUGAACCGCAUGGUUCAAUAGUGAAAGACGGUUUUGCUGUCACUUAUAGAGGGUUCCGCGCCGCAUUAGCUAGUUGGUAAGGUAACGGCUUACCAAGGCAACGAUGCGUAGCCGACCUGAGAGGGUGAUCGGCCACACUGGAACUGAGACACGGUCCAGACUCCUACGGGAGGCAGCAGUAGGGAAUCUUCCGCAAUGGGCGAAAGCCUGACGGAGCAACGCCGCGUGAGUGAUGAAGGUCUUCGGAUCGUAAAACUCUGUUAUUAGGGAAGAACAAAUGUGUAAGUAACUAUGCACGUCUUGACGGUACCUAAUCAGAAAGCCACGGCUAACUACGUG
This 497-nucleotide ribosomal RNA is filed under the name uncultured bacterium. RNAcentral's name for it is "partial 16S ribosomal RNA". It matches the Rfam family "Bacterial small subunit ribosomal RNA", at positions 28 to 507 of the family's 1533-position model. The record is from RNAcentral.